RNAcentral lists this long non-coding RNA (1082 nucleotides) under Zonotrichia albicollis (white-throated sparrow). RNAcentral describes it as "lncRNA (ENSZALG00000000643.1)". Lineage: Eukaryota; Metazoa; Chordata; Aves; Passeriformes; Passerellidae. The record is from RNAcentral.
UCUUGCACCAUAGGCUUCCCCUGGAAACACGCUGAAACCUCGUGUGCUCCCAUGUCACUCAGCACCGCCCAGAAAGUCCUUUGCCAUCAUGACACCUUCCUUCCAUGCCCAGUGCUCUCCCCACUGUGCAUGGACCAGAGCUGCUUCUAGGGUUGUCUUUCAAGGAUGCCUUGUCUCACUCCAAAAAAAGCACAGUGUCUCCUACCGGACAUCUGUCCCCGCCAAUUUUUUCACCCCCUGGGCCGAGGGGUACCCACACUGAACCCUCCUGGUUCUGAGGCACUGCCUCCCCCUAAAUGCAGUCUCUGUGUCACAGGAAAAAAAAUGGUUCAGUCUAUGGCCACACAAGAAAAGUCCAGCCAAAAGGCCACUCCAUCAUCUCUCCCCCCACUCAAGAGUCUUCUCCACUUCCCUCAUAGCCUAUCCCUUCUUAUCUCAUCUCUUAUCUCUCUUCUCAUUCAGCUUCAGGAGGAUCAGCAUUUGCAAGGUGUCAAUCAUGCAAGAAAAGGGUUAAAUAUCUCAGUCUCUGCCUGUCCCAGAGCUCCGGAACUCCCACGCUGCCCUGCUGGGCAUCUUCUCGCCGCACUCCCCCCUUCUCCUCCUGGGCCGGCCGCUAUCAAAUUCAGACGCCGGCUCUCCCUCUCUCUCUCUUCCCUGGGCGGGGGGGUGGCUGCCCGAUGUCUCUUGGUGCUCCUCCACCUUCCAUCCUCAAGGGCCUCCUCACCCCCCAUCUCUGUCCAGGUCCAGGCCUACCACAUGGCUGCCCCUUCCCUGCUCAGCAGCAGCGGCUGGACGGGGGAGGGAGAUCCGACCUCUUUCCCUCGAAGUCCCUGGCAAGGUCUCCCUCGGAGACCUUGCCAGGGGCGCAGCUCUGGUUUUAACUCCUGUGUUUUCUCAGAGGAGGAUCUAAUCCUCAGUGGUCGUACCAAAUGCCAAUCUUGAGCAUCAAUUGGUGGCCUGAUGGUAGUGACCACGGCAUCCCAGAAAUCUCAUUUCCGGCCCAACCACCACAUAUGCAAAAGCCUUUUUUGCUUCUUUACCCUGGUCUUUACUAGCAGCAAUUCAAGUUGCAACACACGUCU